UCAAUAAUCAACAUAAGCUGGAUGUAAAUGUUUAAAAACAAAAAUCAUUCACUUUUUAAUUUAAAAAUUUGUUGAUAAAUUUGGUUGAUGUAUUGAAAAUAAGGUAGCCUUCUUUUAUUUUGGCUACCUCAUAGAGUGAGAGAUAUUUUUAUUUGUGGGCUAAAUUUCUCUCCUGAUAGGUCAUAAAAAACCAAGACUAUUGGGAAUUGCAUACAUUUUAAAUGAAACCUAAGUGUCAUACGGGAUGAACUCAUACCAUUAAAAGACGGUUUGUGAUCUUACAUUCAACAUGGGCAUUGUACCAAACUGUGUCCUAAAUGUUAAUAUCAACUUGUAAUAAGAUACAAUGUUAAAUUGGACAGUGUAUUUAUCAUAACAGUACUUACCUACCCUUGAAAGUAUACAUCAAUUUCCAAUAUUUUUAGGUUCAUUACUGAGAUUAUGUGAAUCAUUAACCGGUUUUCCAAAUAACAACGAUUAUUUAGUUUGUAAACUUGGUGUGUUUGGUACAAUGCCGAAUAGGGUAAGAUCAAAAUCAGUGCAAAAAUCAAAAGGAGCAGAUUCGUCAGGUAGAAGCACAUCUAUUCCCAGAAACUGUAAAUCUUCUUCGCUAACAAUAAAUAAUAAUAUUAUAGAUUUUGAUUAUUUAUCGAAACCAUCUAAUAAGAUUGUUAUGGGUAAUAACCAAAUAAAGUCUAGGCCUAUUGAAAAAGAGGUUGAAACCAAGAAAGAAAUAGAAGAAGCAUCUGGUUGGAGCAGUGAUGACCUUGAUGUAGUUUAUGAUCUGCAGGAAGAGAAAAAGAACAAAAUAUAUGAAGUGGUAACUGUAAUGAGUGAUGAUGAAAACCCAACAAAAUCACAUAUGAAAGGCUUUAUGCUGAUGAUGGUGAAAAUAAAGUGAUUGAAAACCCAAAAGACUUGGAUAUUAGUGAUAAAACUGAUGUGUUAAGUGUAAACAAUGCUGCACAGGUAUUCGCUUCGAUUUUGGAUGACAUUUUAUCUAUAGAGAAAGUGGCAACUGUUGAAAAUAUUGCGAGUGCAAUCACAGACUCAAAAGAUGAUAGUGAUAACGAUGUGGUAUGUAUUGCUGUAGUGAAUGCAAAAACAAAAGAAGAACAAAGGAGAGCCAAUAUUGAAGAAAUUUGUUUAUCAAGUGACUCGGAAUCUGAGAGUAGGCUCAUAGUACCUCAUCUUAGAGUAUAAAUGAAACAGAACGAAUAAAUACUACUAAAUUGCCUACACUUCAUGUAACGUCAACUGGAAAUUUGUUAAGGCCUUUUUAUGUAUGUUGGCGGCUGUUGUGUUUCUUGACCCGGUUUGUCAUUUACAAACACUUAUUCCCCGAGUACUACAUUUUUAUUAUUUUAACUUAUUGUUGUUCCUAACAUUAUAAUGACAUAGGCAAGGUAUGAAAACAAGAAAGCCUCAUUGAACACAAAACACUUUUAUAACCACUUGUUUGUUUUUCUUUUCCUUUUUCAUCUAUUGAAUUUUUCGGAAACUUGUGGUACUAAAUAUUGAGUUAACUUAGUGAAACAUGGAGUAAAGAAAUAUUUAGACUGACCAAGAUGGAAUAAAAAAAUUAUUAAGAUAUAUGAAUAAAACUUAUAAUGAAGAAAUACUACCUGAUUUUCUACACUGUAUGUAAGUUACACGUGAAAUUUACAAACUGCGGGGACGAUCUGGUAAUAUUCUUUUUCCUGCGUUUAUUUGAGAUGUAUAAAUUUUCAGUACUUGGUCAACAGGUUUUUAUUGUUGACUUGUGUCAACGAAAGACUUUCUCUACUAUCAGACAUGUAUUUUUUACAAAAGUCACAGGUUUCCCUUUAACUCUUGAGCCUUUCCCCUGCCUAACUUUUAGUGCAAUUUUGCACGCAUUUAAAACCCCAAAUUUCUAAGCUAUUUACUGUGGUUUCUGAAACAACGAACUAUUUUCCCUUUUCUAAGAAUAGUCUCCAGUAAGUUUGUAUGGCAAAUGUUGAGUGUUAUUAUUUGUAAUAAAUUAUCAAAGAAUAA
This is a long non-coding RNA of Homalodisca vitripennis (glassy-winged sharpshooter), 2016 nucleotides long. RefSeq lists it as uncharacterized. The record is from RefSeq and is a predicted model, not a curated record. The transcript is spliced from 2 exons. NCBI's taxonomy places the organism in Eukaryota, Metazoa, Arthropoda, Insecta, Hemiptera, Cicadellidae.